UAUAAGUUACCGUUCUUGCAGUCAAUUACUUGAAAUCAAAACACCUUGUUUGGUAAAAGGGACACACCUUCUUGUUUGGUAAAAAUACAUUAAGGGAGUACAAAUUAGGACAAUCUCACGGAUUGUGGUUCCAGAUACAUGACCUUGUACCUGCCGGGCUAUACAUCAACCUGUCUGCUGCAUAAGGUCUCUGAGUAGCCUAUUUUUUACUACUGUGCAAGUUAAUCAUUUGUGAGAAUAGAUGAUCUCUGCACCUUCUCCAUUCCCCUUGUCGUCGUUACAGCUUCCACCUCUAACUCUAUGGUCUCCGACCAUCUUCUCCUCCAGCUCUCCUAUUCUGUAAUUAGACAACGUCAGGUAUUGAUCCGAUUCAACACUUCCAUGUCUCCCACUUUCUUCCUGCACAUUCAACCUCGGUAUAUACAACAAACUUUGGUUCUCUUUCCUUUAACCUGAAAAACUGAAUGAGAAGAAAUUAUUGAUGGUCCAUCUUGCGAACAUCUUACAAGCUAGAUUUCAAAAGUGUUCCAUUACUUUCUUUAAAUCUUCACUCGUGACCAGUUUCCUUUUCUUUAAUGUAGCUUCUGGAUUAGGCAUAAAAAAAAAAUC
Molecule: long non-coding RNA, 609 nt
Filed under: Daucus carota (carrot)
Lineage: Eukaryota; Viridiplantae; Streptophyta; Magnoliopsida; Apiales; Apiaceae
Description: long non-coding RNA (DCAR_LNC006156)
Source: RNAcentral